UCAGGUUAACAUAACUGCUGUAACUGUUUUAUCUUCCAGAACAACGAGUCUCUUGUCAACAUUUCCUCUGCAUUACCCAAUGUGACCCUGGUCCUGAAUGUCCAGUCUUUUACAAAGGCACACACUGGACAAUACCAAUGCAAGACCUACCCACCCCAUACCAUUAGUCCUGCUUUUAGUAUUCAAAUAGCAAGCACCAACCACCUUGCGGCCGCAGCGCAAUGCAGCAGCUUCGGCAAUGGAAAUGCUGAACAUGGUCCAUUCGGACUCAAUGUCCCCAGUCUCCCUCGGAAUGCUGCUGAAGCUCUGCCGGAGGUGUGCGUUGAAGAUCUCGCGGACUGGGGCCUCUGCUAGACGUUCCCAGCACACCCUCACUACGCGUUUAGGUGCACCAGGUCUGUCCAGCGUCCUCCCCCGCCACCUGAUCCAACUCACCACCAGGUGGUGAUCAGUUGACAGCUCAGCCCCUCUCUUUACCCGAGUGUCCAGAACAUAUGGUCGCAGGUCAGGUGAUACGAUUACAAAAUCGAUCAUCGACCUACAGCCUAGAGCGUCCUGGUGCCACGUGCACUUAUGGACACUCUUAUGUUCGAACAAGGUGUUCGUUAUGGCCAAACUGUGAUUAGCACAGAAGUCCAACAACAAAACACAGCUUGGGGUCAGAUCAGGAAGGUUGUUCCUUCCAAUCACGCCCCUCCAGGUCUCGCUGUUGUUACCCACGUGAGCAUUGAAGUCUCCCAGCAGGACAACAGAGGCUCCAGGUGGAGCACCUUCCAGCACCACCCCCCCCCCCAGGGUCUUUAAGAAGGCUGGGUACUCUGAACUGCCACUUGGCAGAUGACAGUUGGGACCUGUUCCCCGACCCUAAGGUGCAGGGAACAAACCCUCUCAUCCACCGGGAAGAACCCCAACGUACCGGCAGCAAGCCGAAGGGAUAUUAGAAUACCCACCCCAGCCCACCAACUCUCACCAGGGGCAACUCCAGACUGAGACAGAGUCCAUUCCCUCUCCAGGAGACUGGUUCCAGAGCCCAAGCCAUGCGUAGAGGUGAGCCCGACUAUAUCUAGCCGGUACCUCUCAACCUCACGCACUAACUCAGGCUCCUUCCCCACCAGAGAGGUGACAUUCCAUGUCCCUAUUGCCAGUCUUGGUAGCCAGGGAUCAGUCCGCCAGGGCCUCCGCUCCUGGCCGCCGUCCGGCACCCAAUGCACCCAAUGCGCCUUCUGUGGGUGGGUGGGCCUGCAGGAGUGUGGGCCCAUGUCCUCUUUUCGGGCUGUGCCCGGCCAGGCCCCAUGGACUAAGGCCCGGCCACCAGACACUCGCCCUUGGGCACCCUCCCUGGGCCUGGCUCCAGGGCGGGGCCCCGGUAACCCUAUAAGUCUUGCCGGCUUUAUAGUCAGUGUUCAGUCAAGUCAAAUCCAAAAGGUCAAAAGUCUGUGAUGGGUGUGAUUUUGUCCAACCGCUCUGUUGCAAUUCUUCGUGAGAGAAGAGCAACCUGCCCUUCUGGGCCAACUCGGAAUGGCUGUGGUUCGGUUCAAAGGGAACAGCUCGCCAUCUUCCUCGUCAGGAAGAGAUCCAGGUCUCACGAUCCCACAAAAAAAGCCAGCACGCUUCUAAUGUUCAACUCUCAGAGAGGAUAUUGUCCGCUUCCUCCGCGCCCGUGCAGAUCACGAUGGUUCCAAAGUGUUCACAACAAAUCAGGUCCGUUUCUCCAAGGUCCAUGCAGAUCUCCGGUAUGGAUAUCUGCUCAGUUUCUCAAGUUUAUAGUUAUUUUCCAGCAACAAGCUGGUCCCGUGCACAUCCGUCUCUGUCUGUGUCUGAGCACAUGUUGUGCCAAAAAGUGAUCAGCCCACUGAAGCAUGUUAUAUUAAUAUUAAUAUUUUAUUAAAUGAUCAUUGAAAAAGGCAGACUGUAAUAACACUUUUGUGUGAACUGUAAAGUGAAUUUAUUUAUUGAUCCCAUUUAGAACAACAGAGGUUAAUCCAAAGUGUUUUCCAGGAAAGUGCAUUCACAUUCCAGCUUUCCAGAAAACCCAGUUUGGAACAUGUGAACAGUGUGUAUUACUGUUUUUAGGCUAUCAUGACUUAUUCCUGGUCUGAUUAACACUCCUCUGUCCAGAUAACUUCACAGGAAAACCACCUUCCUUGACCAUCAGCAGCCCAAAGUGUAACUGCACCCAGCAGACCCACAAUGCAGCAGGUCUGAAGGGUCAGCUGUGGUUCUGGGUGCUUCUGGGAAAAACUACCAUCCUGCUCCUGAGCCUGGCCUCGCUGGCUGUAAAACACAAGACAGAAUGAGAUCAGACGGACACCCAUAUCUCCUCUCAGCAUUGCUUUGUUUGUAUUAUUCAGUUUUAAGAUGUAGCCUCUUUUAUUCUGUCUUCUUUUAAAUUUAAGCUCUGCAUUAUUUAGUCCGCAAUUAACACGCAUGCACACACACAUUUGACUAAAUACCCACUGCAAGGAACAAUCAGUUUAUACUGGGGCUCACUCAUUUGCAGUAAAUUUGUUUAUUUGUGGUGUCUGAUUUGCUGAAGCUUUGCUCUUUAAAUUAACACCAGGAUCCAUGAUUUUGCUAAUUAUUUUCAUCAUGAUUUGCUUAAAAUAAUGAAAACAUGACAAAGGUGUUUUUAAAACAACUCGAGACAUUAAAACAGUAAAUAAUUCCCUUAUUAACUCUCCAAUAGUUUGCUCUGAGGCUGCAUAACCAACACCAGAUUAUGUCGACUCCUUGAGUGGAUGGACGGGAACAUGAUAGUAUUCCUCAGUAUUAUUGUCUGCACAUAGAGAGGGCUAGAUGAACAUGGGGCACUGGUUUAGGUCACUGUUGUGAUCUACAUCCUGAAAGGUUAAUGAUGCAGAGGCCCUGAGCUGCUCGCUGCUCCUCUUUGUCCCAGCUUUCUUCUGUUCUCUUCACUGUCAUGCUGCUAAAUAAAUGCAACAAAUAAAA
Astatotilapia calliptera (eastern happy) is the source of this 2949-nucleotide long non-coding RNA. Lineage: Eukaryota; Metazoa; Chordata; Actinopteri; Cichliformes; Cichlidae. The record is from Ensembl.